Molecule: long non-coding RNA, 1745 nt
Organism: Lagopus muta (rock ptarmigan)
Lineage: Eukaryota; Metazoa; Chordata; Aves; Galliformes; Phasianidae
Exons: 3
Source: RefSeq, a predicted model, not a curated record
AGUCAAGCUUCCCAUAUCUCUCACGUCUCUGAACCUCUAGGCAGGAGACAGGGGAGUAAAAUCUCUCCAGCUAUAAAAGAAGAGCAAUUUCAAGACUGCUUCAUGAGACUGAAACUGUACAAGUCUAUGGAUCUGGCUGAUGUAGUUGCCAAGAUGAUCUCCAUCAUAUUGGAACAGUCAUGGCUAUCACAUGAAGUCUCCAAUGACAAGGAAAAGGGAAAUAUUGAUCCCAUUUUUAAGAAGGAAGAAAAGUAGACCCAAGGAACUGUAGGUGUUGAGCCUCAUGUCUGCCUGGGAAGAUCAUGGAACAGAUCCUCCUAGAAGCUAUGUUAAGAGAACAUUACCUGAGAUCACCCAAGAAUAAAUACAUAACAAGCACUGAUAGGCUUUGUACUAUUUCGCUUACAGAUCUACAGAUGCAAAUUGUAAAACAGAUACCAAAUCGCUGAUUCUCAAAAUGCUUUUAUCUACAUUUGUGUUGAAGCCAAUGAGGACUGUAACAAGAAUGGGACUUUGAAUAAUACAUCUUCUCACAUACUCGCAUGCUGCUAAAACUAUAUUAAAAAUACAGAUUAUGUAUAUAAUUUGGUAUUAACACUUCAUAUUAGUGAGAAUAAUCUUCUUUGUAAUGUUGGAUGAUUUGCAUGAGUUAGUAUUCUGACAUACAUGGCUUUCAAAUACUUUGCAUUAUAUAAUGAUGCCUUUUUUCUCAUCUUUCUAAUUAAUGAAAACUAGUGUUUAUUACAUCUAAUUUAGUGUUACCUCACUGAAAGGUAGCUAAACAUCUCUGAAACACAAAGUGUGAUCUACUUCACUUUGCAUAACUAUAUAAUUUUCUAAGUACUUAAUGGAAGGAAUCAAGUACUUCUGCAAGUGGUAGUCAGCUUGAUAUAGAUGCUUUCUUUCAGGUAAUCAUUAGAAAUUGUUUGCUGUUUCUUGCCAUUCUCAAAAGCUACAUGGUCAGUGAGUCAAAGAAUCCUCAAGACAACUAUUCAAACACAAAAGGCUCUUAGUUUCAGGAUCUCUUGAGCCUGAUGGGAAAAAUCAAUCUUUUGGUUAAUUAGUAUAUGCUCCCAUUAUGUUGUUGCACUCCAGAAAAUUUUCUUUGACCUUGCAAAGCAGCUUUCAAAACAGUCUAUACAAAUUUGAAUGUUCUGAAGAAUGUGUUAAACUCGUAGAGUAUUUGCAAUGGUGACCUGAUCUAUAAAAUCAUUAACUGCUUUUGUAACCAGAUUUUUGCUUAAUUAGUAUGGUUUUGACACAAUGAAGUAAAAAUUUUCUGCCUUGCCCCUUUGUGACUAUGCCAUAAUGGUAGAUAACUAGCAAAUUGAUUUAGUUCAAUAUGCAGUGUAACAAGCAUUAUAGUUGAUUCAGAGAGACAUCUUCCCACACAGGAAGACUCCUUUGUCAAUAUAAAACCAUUAGGAAUCUGUCUUAUUUCAUGACUGAAUCUUCAUUUUACUUUUUCUUGUGUGAAAUAUUUCCAUUCCCUGAACUUUGUAUGUUCUUUUUUUGACAUACUGACAGGCAUAUGUGGCACAAGUACCUAAAACUGGAUUGCUACAGAACUGGCAAAACUUAUGAAUUAAUCCUCUCACAAAAGAUUUCAUGAUUACGGCUAGAUGCCUACUAAAUCAUCCCCUGUAAGUCAUUAUUCACUUAAAUCUGAUGCACUAACAACUCACAGCCUUGUUUUAUACAGAUGUUAAUCGUGAAGUUCAAUUUAAAUGAAAUAGAAUUAAGUA